CUUGCCCCCAGACACCUCAGUGCCUUUCUGCUAAGAUAACUCUGGUUUAUUGGCAUUUUUUUUCCCUGCAGAAGAGUCAAAAACUGAACACAGCAUCUGUGUGAUUGUAUUGAAGAUUUUAGAACAAGUUCCAGAACUUAUCAAGUUUUUUCAAGUAAUUCAAAAGGCUCUCACCCUCACCAAGGGACUUUGAAGAAAACAAAAUAGAUUUUUCACUGCUGAGAGGACUGAGCUUUGGCCAACAGCGUUGUGUAUGCCAGCCCUGUUCAGCUCAUCCAUGGAGAGACUGUGACCACCGCUUGGUGAGUCCAUGCUUUGGGAGGUGUCCCCACAGAAAGCCCCAUAGAGACGUCUCAAACAGGUCGCAUGGCACCUGGCCUCUGAGUUUGGAAGGAAGGACUGGAUGAUGUCCAUGUGAGUGCCAGUGCAAGACCUCCAGUGGUCUCAGAUUAAUGGUGCCAUAUCCCCAGUGACGUCUCCUUGGGAGCUGAAAGACACUCAGGUCCAA
This 508-nucleotide long non-coding RNA is filed under the name Zonotrichia albicollis (white-throated sparrow). RNAcentral describes it as "lncRNA (ENSZALG00000002836.1)". Lineage: Eukaryota; Metazoa; Chordata; Aves; Passeriformes; Passerellidae. The record is from RNAcentral.